Molecule: long non-coding RNA, 416 nt
Filed under: Cyanistes caeruleus (blue tit)
Lineage: Eukaryota; Metazoa; Chordata; Aves; Passeriformes; Paridae
Description: lncRNA (ENSCCEG00000002975.1)
Source: RNAcentral
CUUGGACUGCAUCAGAUCUUUAUCUGUUACAGAGGUGAAAUCACAGUCCAUCUCUGCUUCUGACAGUCAUUUAAACAUUGCAAUCACCUUACUUGCAAGUUCUUUCUGCAUACUUGCAGCUCUCUUCAAGUCUCUCAUCUUGAAUGGUGGACAUCAACUCUGUUGAUGAAAAUUUGAUAUCCAAGAAUGCGGAAUGUCAAGGAGGAAUUCUUAGAUAUGGAGCAUGAGGAGUUAUUCAACCAAGGUCUUUCUAGAGCUUUCUCCAAGAUUAACCUAAACCACCUACCAUGGUCCUAUAAAGGAAAACUGAAUAAUGGAGACAUUGAUGAAGAUGACUGGAUUUUUACUGCCACAAAGGAAUUGUAGGUUUGUCCUUCUUUCCAACACUGUAUUUUUAAAGGAAUGCUCAGACCCUG